GUAGGUGGCAAGCGUUGUCCGGAAUUAUUGGGCGUAAAGCGCGCGCAGGCGGUUCUUUAAGUCUGAUGUGAAAGCCCACGGCUCAACCGUGGAGGGUCAUUGGAAACUGGAGAACUUGAGUACAGAAGAGGAAAGCGGAAUUCCACGUGUAGCGGUGAAAUGCGUAGAGAUGUGGAGGAACACCAGUGGCGAAGGCGGCUUUCUGGUCUGUAACUGACGCUGAGGCGCGAAAGCGUGGGGAGCAAACAGGGAUUAGAUACCCUGGUAGUCCACGCCGUAAACGAUGAGUGCUAAGUGUUAGGGGGGGUUUCCCGCCCCCUUAGUGCUGCAGCUAACGCAUUAAGCAUCCGCCUGGGGAUACGGCCGCAAGGCUG
This 374-nucleotide ribosomal RNA is filed under the name uncultured organism. Its description in RNAcentral is "partial 16S ribosomal RNA". It matches the Rfam family "Bacterial small subunit ribosomal RNA", at positions 527 to 896 of the family's 1533-position model. The record is from RNAcentral.